Molecule: small RNA, 139 nt
Filed under: Deltaproteobacteria bacterium
Lineage: Bacteria; Pseudomonadati; Myxococcota; Myxococcia
Description: c-di-AMP sequence
Rfam family: c-di-AMP riboswitch aptamer (ydaO/yuaA leader)
About the family: This family represents a conserved RNA structure found upstream of the ydaO and yuaA genes in Bacillus subtilis and related genes in other bacteria. The ydaO/yuaA element is thought to act as a genetic "off" switch for the ydaO and yuaA genes in its native state.
Source: RNAcentral
CGAUAUUUUAUGCCUAAGUCCGUUGCUAAAUGGAUACGGGGGACCCGAGCAGUCAGGGGCGCAUUUCUUGAUUGAUAAAGAAUAGGACACUUCCCUGUCCGAGCCCGUCAGCUAACCUUGUCGGCGUAUGGGAGGAUGA